GCUCCAGCAGUCGGAUUUCUACUCCAAACUUCUAUUGCAAGCAGACUUCAUCUGAGCUUCUACAGUAAGUGGUCUCCAUCUAGAUUUUCACGGCAAUCGAUCUCCAUCUGAGCUUCUACAAUAAGCGGUCUCCAUCCAGACUUCCAUGGCAAUCGAUCUCCAUCCGAGCUUCUACGGUAAGCGACCUCCUUCUGGACUCCUAC
RNAcentral lists this long non-coding RNA (203 nucleotides) under Elaeis guineensis (African oil palm). RNAcentral's name for it is "long non-coding RNA (EGUI_LNC047352)". Lineage: Eukaryota; Viridiplantae; Streptophyta; Magnoliopsida; Arecales; Arecaceae. The record is from RNAcentral.